RNAcentral lists this ribosomal RNA (428 nucleotides) under uncultured microorganism. RNAcentral's name for it is "bacterial SSU rRNA". It matches the Rfam family "Bacterial small subunit ribosomal RNA", at positions 9 to 440 of the family's 1533-position model. The record is from RNAcentral.
GAGUUUGAUCGUGGCUCAGAUUGAACGCUGGCGGCAGGCUUAACACAUGCAAGUCGAGCGGGGGAGAUUGCUUCGGUAAUUGACCUAGCGGCGGACGGGUGAGUAAUACUUAGGAAUCUGCCUAUUAAUGGGGGACAACAUCUCGAAAGGGAUGCUAAUACCGCAUACGCCCUACGGGGAAAGCAGGGGAUCACUUGUGACCUUGCGUUAAUAGAUGAGCCUAAGUCGGAUUAGCUAGUUGGUGGGGUAAAGGCUACCAAGGCGACGAUCUGUAGCGGGUCUGAGAGGAUGAUCCGCCACACUGGGACUGAGACACGGCCCAGACUCCUACGGGAGGCAGCAGUGGGGAAUAUUGGACAAUGGGGGGAACCCUGAUCCAGCCAUGCCGCGUGUGUGAAGAAGGCCUUAUGGUGUAAAGCACUUUAAGC